GCUCAGAUUGAACGCUGGCGGCAUGCUUUACACAUGCAAGUCGAACGGUAACAGGCCUUCGGGUGCUGACGAGUGGCGAACGGGUGAGUAAUGCAUCGGAACGUGCCCAGAGGUGGGGGAUAACGCAGCGAAAGCUGUGCUAAUACCGCAUGUGAUCUGAGGAUGAAAGCGGGGGACCAGGCAGCAAUGUUUGGCCUCGCGCCUUUGGAGCGGCCGAUGUCAGAUUAGGUAGUUGGUGGGGUAAAGGCCUACCAAGCCGACGAUCUGUAGCUGGUCUGAGAGGACGACCAGCCACAUUGGGAUCUGAGACACGGCCCAGACUCCUACGGGAGGCAGCAGUA
RNAcentral lists this ribosomal RNA (341 nucleotides) under uncultured bacterium. RNAcentral's name for it is "bacterial SSU rRNA". It matches the Rfam family "Bacterial small subunit ribosomal RNA", at positions 22 to 356 of the family's 1533-position model. The record is from RNAcentral.